RNAcentral lists this ribosomal RNA (468 nucleotides) under uncultured bacterium. Its description in RNAcentral is "partial 16S ribosomal RNA". It matches the Rfam family "Bacterial small subunit ribosomal RNA", at positions 28 to 507 of the family's 1533-position model. The record is from RNAcentral.
GACGAACGCUGGCGGCGUGCUUAACACAUGCAAGUCGAACGGAAAGGCCCUGCUUUUGUGGGGUGCUCGAGUGGCGAACGGGUGAGUAACACGUGAGUAACCUGCCCUUGACUUUGGGAUAACUUCAGGAAACUGGGGCUAAUACCGGAUAGGAUCUCCUGCUGCAUGGUGGGGGUUGGAAAGUUUCGGCGGUUGGGGAUGGACUCGCGGCUUAUCAGCUUGUUGGUGGGGUAGUGGCUUACCAAGGCUUUGACGGGUAGCCGGCCUGAGAGGGUGACCGGCCACAUUGGGACUGAGGUACGGACCAGACUCCUACGGGAGGCAGCAGUGGGGAAUAUUGCACAAUGGGCGGAAGCCUGAUGCAGCAACGCUGCGUGCGGGAUGACGGCCUUCGGGUUGUAAACCGCUUUCGCCUGUGACGAAGCGUGAGUGACGGUAAUGGGUAAAGAAGCACCGGCUAACUACGUG